GAUUGAACGCUGGCGGCAGGCUUAACACAUGCGAGUCGAGCGGAGAUGAGGUGCUUGCACCUUAUCUUAGCGGCGGACGGGUGAGUAAUGCUUAGGAAUCUGCCUAUUAGUGGGGGACAACAUUCCGAAAGGAAUGCUAAUACCGCAUACGUCCUACGGGAGAAAGCAGGGGAUCUUCGGACCUUGCGCUAAUAGAUGAGCCUAAGUCGGAUUAGCUAGUUGGUGGGGUAAAGGCCUACCAAGGCGACGAUCUGUAGCGGGUCUGAGAGGAUGAUCCGCCACACUGGGACUGAGACACGGCCCAGACUCCUACGGGAGGCAGCAGUGGGGAAUAUUGGACAAUGGGGGGAACCCUGAUCCAGCCAUGCCGCGUGUGUGAAGAAGGCCUUAUGGUUGUAAAGCACUUUAAGCGAGGAGGAGGCUACUGAGA
Molecule: ribosomal RNA, 430 nt
Filed under: uncultured bacterium
Lineage: Bacteria
Description: bacterial SSU rRNA
Rfam family: Bacterial small subunit ribosomal RNA
Source: RNAcentral